CCUACGGGUGGCAGCAGUGAGGAAUAUUGGUCAAUGGACGAGAGUCUGAACCAGCCAAGUAGCGUGAAGGAUGACUGCCCUAUGGGUUGUAAACUUCUUUUAUCUGGGAAUAAAACGUUCCACGUGUGGGAGUUUGUAUGUACCCUAUGAAUAAGGAUUGGGUAACUCCGGUCCAGGAGCCGCGGUGAUACGGAGGAUCCGAGCGUUAUCCGGAUUUAUUUGGUUUAAAGGGUGGGUAGGUGGGUAGUUAAGUCAGGUGUGAAAGUUUGCGGCUCAACCGUAGAAUUGCAGUUGAAACUGGCAGUCUUGAGUACAGUAGAGGUAGGCGGAAUUCGUGGUGUAGCGGUGAAAUGCUUAGAUAUCACGAAGAACUCCGAUUGCGAAGGCAGUUCACUGGACUGCAACUGACACUGAGGCUCGAAAGUGUGGGGAUCAAACAGGAUUAGAUACCCGUGUAGUC
This 460-nucleotide ribosomal RNA is filed under the name uncultured bacterium. RNAcentral describes it as "partial 16S ribosomal RNA". It matches the Rfam family "Bacterial small subunit ribosomal RNA", at positions 338 to 795 of the family's 1533-position model. The record is from RNAcentral.